UACAGAGGGGGCAAGCGUUGUUCGGAAUUAUUGGGCGUAAAGAGCUCGUAGGCGGCUUGUCGCGUCGGCUGUGAAAACCCGGGGCUCAACCCCGGGCCUGCAGUCGAUACGGGCAGGCUAGAGUCCGGAAGGGGCGAGUGGAAUUCCUGGUGUAGCGGUGAAAUGCGCAGAUAUCAGGAGGAACACCAAUGGCGAAGGCAGCUCGCUGGGACGGUACUGACGCUGAGGCGCGAAAGCUAGGGGAGCAAACGGG
RNAcentral lists this ribosomal RNA (253 nucleotides) under uncultured bacterium. RNAcentral describes it as "partial 16S ribosomal RNA". It matches the Rfam family "Bacterial small subunit ribosomal RNA", at positions 524 to 776 of the family's 1533-position model. The record is from RNAcentral.